This 591-nucleotide small RNA is filed under the name Pongo abelii (Sumatran orangutan). RNAcentral's name for it is "processed transcript". The record is from RNAcentral. Lineage: Eukaryota; Metazoa; Chordata; Mammalia; Primates; Hominidae.
GAAAUCGGCAGCGAUCUCGGCUGCGGCGCUGCCGCAGCUGCCCGACCCGCGGGGCGCGCCCUGACCCUUCCUCUUUGGGCAGGCUCCAGGGCGCGCGCACGGUCGGCGUUCCGGGGCCUCAAACUCCUGGGCCUUGACCGGGCAGGCCGCGUCUCCCCGGGUGUGAGUCCACCGGGACCCGGCCGCCGCCUAAGCGCUGGCGCCACAGAAGCGGCGGCGCCCGAAGACGCGCUCCUGGCUCGGCCCGACAGCCUCGCUUGGCCGCCAGUUCUUCUGCAGCCGAAGGCGGUUGUUCUUUUAAAGAAAUUUUGAAGACGAAGGUUUUUUUCUUUUUUUUAAUGGCUUUACAGAAUCUUAAAUAGAAUACAGUUUGACAUGACGGCAAAAAAUGUUGGUUUGACUUCCACAAAUGCAGAAGUAAGAGGAUUUAUAGAUCAGAAUCUCAGUCCAACAAAAGGCAACAUUUCAUUUGUUGCAUUUCCAGUUUCCAAUACCAACUCACCUACGAAGAUUUUACCAAAAACCUUAGGACCAAUAAAUGUGAAUGUUGGACCCCAAAUGGAUGCAACCAGAAGGCAUCAUCUUUGAAGC